Molecule: long non-coding RNA, 590 nt
Organism: Asparagus officinalis (garden asparagus)
Lineage: Eukaryota; Viridiplantae; Streptophyta; Magnoliopsida; Asparagales; Asparagaceae
Exons: 5
Source: RefSeq, a predicted model, not a curated record
UGACCCUAAUCCCCGGCGCCUCGUUCUUCUUCCUCUGAAUCUCUUGUAGAGAGAGAGAGAGAGAGAGAGAGAGAGAGAGAGAGAGCGAUUCAAAAAUGGUUUAGAGGUUGACCUAUCGCAAGAGGCAUAGCUAUGCCACGAAAUCGAACCCGACCCGCAUCGUCAAAACCCCUGGUGGGAAACUUACCUACCAGACUGCCAAGAAGAGGGCGAAAGGACCAAGGUGCCCUGUGACUGGAAAGAGAAUCCAAGGGGUGGGAUAACGACAUUGAUUGAUAUGCCCCCUCAACAGAUAUCUUUCCACAGUGUCUGUAGAACACUAAAACUCAAGGUUACUUGCUGAUACACAGUUUGUAUUUAACAUAUUGAGUAUGGAGAAGUGAAGAGUCUGGUCAGUGAAGUUUGCAUUGUGAAAAGCGCUACAUCUCAGAUGCUUCCAUGUGAGAAAAAAGGUCUUGCUGAAGUGAUGCAUAAUGAAGCUCUUGCUAAAUAGAAAAUUACUUCUUAUCUAUGUAAACAAUUUAUGUAUCACACUAGUAUUUUGGUGAAUGUAUUAUUGAAUAUAAUUGUAUUUGAUAUUGAAAUAUAAU